UACGGAGGGUCCAAGCGUUAUCCGGAAUCAUCGGGUUUAAAGGGUCCGUAGGCGGUUUUGUAAGUCAGUGGUGAAAGCCCAUCGCUCAACGGUGGAACGGCCAUUGAUACUGCAAGACUUGAAUUAUUGGGAAGCAACUAGAAUAUGUAGUGUAGCGGUGAAAUGCUUAGAUAUUACAUGGAAUACCAAUUGCGAAGGCAGGUUGCUACCAAUACAUUGACGCUGAUGGACGAAAGCGUGGGGAGCGAACAGG
This 253-nucleotide ribosomal RNA is filed under the name uncultured bacterium. RNAcentral describes it as "partial 16S ribosomal RNA". It matches the Rfam family "Bacterial small subunit ribosomal RNA", at positions 524 to 776 of the family's 1533-position model. The record is from RNAcentral.